This 70-nucleotide transfer RNA is filed under the name Saurida undosquamis (brushtooth lizardfish). RNAcentral's name for it is "tRNA-Pro". It matches the Rfam family "tRNA". Rfam says of the family: Transfer RNA (tRNA) molecules are approximately 80 nucleotides in length. Their secondary structure includes four short double-helical elements and three loops (D, anti-codon, and T loops). Further hydrogen bonds mediate the characteristic L-shaped molecular structure. tRNAs have two regions of fundamental functional importance: the anti-codon, which is responsible for specific mRNA codon recognition, and the 3' end, to which the tRNAs corresponding amino acid is attached (by aminoacyl-tRNA synthetases). tRNAs cope with the degeneracy of the genetic code in two manners: having more than one tRNA (with a specific anti-codon) for a particular amino acid; and 'wobble' base-pairing, i.e. permitting non-standard base-pairing at the 3rd anti-codon position. Lineage: Eukaryota; Metazoa; Chordata; Actinopteri; Aulopiformes; Synodontidae. RNAcentral also lists the same sequence under 1 other name. The record is from RNAcentral.
CGGAGAGUAGUUAAACUUAGAAUUCUGGCUUUGGGAGUCAGUGGUAGAGGUUAGAAUCCUCUCUUUCCGA